Molecule: ribosomal RNA, 498 nt
Filed under: Triticum aestivum (bread wheat)
Lineage: Eukaryota; Viridiplantae; Streptophyta; Magnoliopsida; Poales; Poaceae
Description: partial small subunit ribosomal RNA
Source: RNAcentral
AUGGCCAAGGGAGCAGUGAUGCUUCUUGUGCUCUUCACGGUGCUGUCAGCGAUGAGCGAGGCCCAGCCGCAGCACGAGCCCGGUCACGGGAUCUUGGCCCACGGGCAUCGCUGGUCUAACCCAGAGGCAUCACCAACACACCUUUACUUCUACUUCCACGACACUGUAAGCGGCGCAUCCCCGUCGGCGGUGCGGGUCCGGACCCGUCGUCGCGGACCUUUUUUUGGGGAUGGUGAACGUGAUGGACGACCCGCUGACCGAUGGCCCGGAGCCCGGCUCGGCGGCCGUGGGCCGCGCCCAGGGCCUGUACAUGGGGGCGGACCAGGCGGAGCUAGGCUUCCUGCAGACCAUGAACCUCGUGAGCUGGGCGAGAUGCCCGUUGUUGGCGGCACCGGUGCCUUCCACUUCGCCCAUGGGUAUGCGCAGGCCCGGACCCACUGGCUCGACUUCGAGACUGGCGACGCCACCGUCGAAUAUGACGUCUAUGUCAUGCACUAG